GACGAACGCUGGCGGCGUGCUUAACACAUGCAAGUCGAACGGUGAAGCGCCUUCCUUUUUGGUGGGUGUGGAUGAGUGGCGAACGGGUGAGUAACACGUGAGUAACCUGCCCCCUUCUUCUGGAUAACCGCAUGAAAGUGUGGCUAAUACGGGAUAUUCUGGGUCUGUCGCAUGAUGGGUCUGGGAAAGAUAUUGUUUCGGUGGGGGAUGGGCUCGCGGCCUAUCAGCUUGUUGGUGGGGUGAUGGCCUACCAAGGCGGUGACGGGUAGCCGGCCUGAGAGGGUGGACGGUCACACUGGGACUGAGACACGGACCAGACUCCUACGGGAGGCAGCAGUGGGGAAUAUUGCACAAUGGGCGCAAGCCUGAUGCAGCGACGCCGCGUGAGGGAUGGAGGCCGUCGGGUUGUGAACCUCUUUCGCCAGUGGAGCAGGCCUGCCUCGUUUGUGGGUGGGUUGACGGUAGCUGGAUAAGAAGCGCCGGCUAACUACGU
Molecule: ribosomal RNA, 493 nt
Filed under: uncultured bacterium
Lineage: Bacteria
Description: partial 16S ribosomal RNA
Rfam family: Bacterial small subunit ribosomal RNA
Source: RNAcentral